Long non-coding RNA from Solea solea (common sole), 682 nucleotides. RefSeq lists it as uncharacterized. The record is from RefSeq and is a predicted model, not a curated record. NCBI's taxonomy places the organism in Eukaryota, Metazoa, Chordata, Actinopteri, Pleuronectiformes, Soleidae. The transcript has 3 exons.
AGUCAUGGAAACCAAACUGUCUGCGGACUUAUAUAUUAGUGUUGGUGAUUAAUGUGCUUUCUCAUCUUCCCUCACACAGAUUGAACCCCGUCAGAAGGGAACAAACAGUGUAAGGACAGGAGCCAGCAUGUACAAGAACUCCUCCAGGCUCUGCUCUGCUGGUCUAUUGGAGACAUUACAACAAGUAACAGGGCUUUGGUUUGACACACUGUGAAUCUCUCGUACUGCAAAGUCUUCAGGACAAACACUCGAGGAAAAGGCCAAGUGAUCGAUAAUCUGGCUGAGAGUCUGGUGGUUUAUGGGGGAAAGACUGAAGACAGGUGGGGCACCUGGCAUUUAGGUCACCUAAAGUCAAGUUUAGCCAUUUGUGGGUUCAAAACAGAUGUAAAUGAGCUUUUAAGCUCUGGUUCGAGAAACAGCAUUCUCUGGAGCUACCUCAUUUAUCCCCCAUCAUCCCCGUUAAGCUGGAGCUUCAGACAGCAGUGAGUUUGCAGAGAGGGGGGUAAUUUUGGACAGUGACCCAGAUUCCCCAGUCUUCUGUCCAUAAUGCCCCGGUUUGUGGCCUGAAAUGUGCUUGUGUUGGGGAACUCACGCCUGUCACCGUCUCGGCUCCUGUCAGGAAUCUGUCUGACUAAGAGGCCGGUGGUCUGCAGAGGCAUGAUAGGCAAUAAUAACUCUUCGC